AGUGAACGCUGGCGGUAGGCCUAACACAUGCAAGUCGAACGGCAGCACAUUAAGAGCUUGCUCUUACGGGUGGCGAGUGGCGGACGGGUGAGGAAUACAUCGGCAUCUACUUUUUCGUGGGGGAUAACUUAGGGAAACUUCUGCUAAUACCUCAUACCACCUACCGUUGAAAGCAGGUGAUCUUCGUACCUUGCCCGCUUUCAUGAGCCGAUGUGGGAUUAGCUAGUUGGCGGGGUAAAGGCCCACCAAGGCGACGAUCCGUAGCUGGUCUGAGAGGAGGACCAGCCAAACUGGAACUGAGACACGGUCCAGACUCCUAGGGGAGGAAGAAGUGGGGAAUAUUGGACAAUGGGGGAAAGCCUGAUCAAGCCAUACCGCGUGGGUGAAGAAGGCCUUCGGGUUGUAAAGCCCGUUUGUAGGGAAAGAAAAGCAGCAGGUUAAUACCCCGCUGUUCUGACGGUACCCAAAGAAUAAGCACCGGCUAACUUCGUG
Molecule: ribosomal RNA, 492 nt
Filed under: uncultured bacterium
Lineage: Bacteria
Description: partial 16S ribosomal RNA
Rfam family: Bacterial small subunit ribosomal RNA
Source: RNAcentral